Molecule: long non-coding RNA, 771 nt
Filed under: Ananas comosus (pineapple)
Lineage: Eukaryota; Viridiplantae; Streptophyta; Magnoliopsida; Poales; Bromeliaceae
Description: long non-coding RNA (ACOM_LNC033040)
Source: RNAcentral
UAGCAGGUUUUAAAUUUUUAAUACAUUCAAAUCUGAAAAAGAUAAAUAAUACAUUCAAAUUUUAACGUGAAAAUAUCGAUGACCGACUCAAAUCAAACAAAAUUAAAAGAUUGGAUAUUAAAUUAAAAUUUUGAAAUAUUAGAUAGUUGUUUCAAAAUAGUUGAUACUUCAGAUAAAUUCUGCAUGUAUUUAUAAAAAAAAAAAAGGUUUUAGCAGCGCACAUGGUAGUACGAGAUAAUUUAUUUUAGGGGCAAUUGCUUAUAUAUCCCUAAAAAGUUUCCGACUUUCCGAUUUAUCCCUCUUAGAAGGCUAAUAUUGAAAAUACCCUUUUUACGUUCCAACCUAUUUCUAAUAUACCCCUAAAGUUAAAAUCUAUUAAUUAACUCUAUUAUCUCUGUAAAAUUACUAUUUUGCCCUUUCAAAUAUAUUCUUUCCUCAUCAGUGUCUUUCUUAUUUACCCUUAAAGUCAGGAGCACAAAAAGUAUUUUGACUUUUGAUUUUUUCCAAUAUAUAUAACCCCUCUACCGUCACCAACCUUUUUUAUUUGCCCUUAAAUUAAGGAUAAAAUUGGCAUUUUAAUUUUUGUUAACUGUGGAAGAUAUUUAACUCACGUUUAAUUCAAGUUAAUUUAGAAGAAGAUAACUGAAAAAAUAUUUUACAAUAACGAUGGAAUAUAUGAGUGGUAUUUUAGAAAAAAAAAUUUGAAUAUUUUUAAACGUACAAGAAAAGUAUAUAGAUAGGCAAUUAUCCUUUUAUUUUAACAACCAUAUU